Aotus nancymaae (Ma's night monkey) is the source of this 108-nucleotide small nuclear RNA. NCBI's taxonomy places the organism in Eukaryota, Metazoa, Chordata, Mammalia, Primates, Aotidae. The record is from Ensembl.
AUGCUCGCUCUGGCAGCACAUGUACUAAACAUUCUAACAACACAGAGAAGAUGAGCACAGUCCCUGUGCAAUGAUGACAUGCAAAUUUGUGAAGCAUUCCAUGCUUUA